RNAcentral lists this long non-coding RNA (411 nucleotides) under Homo sapiens (human). Its description in RNAcentral is "non-protein coding lnc-IL2RG-5:3". Lineage: Eukaryota; Metazoa; Chordata; Mammalia; Primates; Hominidae. The record is from RNAcentral.
AGAUUGCUAGCGAGCCGUCAGAGCAGCUUGCCGCAGCUCAGGCGGGCUCCGCAGAAAGAUGGCGUUUGCUAUCAAGGUCACAUGGCCACUUUAGGGGACUAAAACGAAAUACUAGCUGAGAACAACAGGAACUGCCAGCACAGGAUCAGAUUUUCAGAAGCAGUCUCAAUUCUAAGUGUCUUUUUCUAAUUAGAAUCGUAAGCACAUUUUUUUGUAUUUGUCCGAACACAUGUCCUAAGUCAUCAAAACUAUGUGAAGGGGUGGAGUUUCACUGGGGGUCUUCUCUUUCCGGGAGCCUGAAAAGGAUGGGAGGAGGGUGGGGGAAACCCAAGGGCCAGGGUAACCGCAGAACCGGAAAGCAGCACGUGCCAGGACAGAAGGCACCCACUAGGGUCUCUGCACUGAGAGCAG